GUCUAGCCGAUGAGUCGCAAAUAAGAUGAAACGCAUGUCCUGAAU
Schistosoma mansoni is the source of this 45-nucleotide non-coding RNA. NCBI's taxonomy places the organism in Eukaryota, Metazoa, Platyhelminthes, Trematoda, Strigeidida, Schistosomatidae. The record is from Rfam.